UNUCACAAGUGAAGCCAGACAUACAAUCUUCUAACAUCAUACAAGUUAGCUGUGAUGCAACAGAUUUGUUUCAAUUUGUAACAAUCAAUUUCUUCUGAUUGAACAUUCUAUACAGUACCUCCGAUCCUCUCUCAGUGAUUUUCUCACAACCUAAGAUAUCAAAUAACUCCGAGACGGAGAUAAAUAAAUGAGCAUCGUAAACUAUAUAAUAUGCACAUUACGGAAGACUCACAAUUAAAAGAUACAAUAAGAGAUACUUUGGAAGAAUUGUAUCCUGAUAAAGCAAUGUCUGAAACUAGGCACAACUUAUUCAUCAAGAAUUGUUGCGGCUGACUAAGUUGCAUAAGAACAUGCCCCAACUUUAUUCUUAAAUCAUGGAGAAUUGCCAAAACAUGCAGUAGUAGUAAUGUUCCACCACAUAACAGUUCUUCAGAAGGCUGUUGAGCAACACAUGUGUUUUGAAAGGAAAAACGUCAAGAAUAAAUAAGUUGGAAACAUAUUUGGAAGAAAUAUCGUUGUUUGGAACAUAUUCAACUUAUUACUAACAAUGAAAAUAUUAUGAUAUGUAGUAUUACAAAUUGCGCUGAAUUAGAUUUUAUGAAAGAACAUUGAUAAAAAAAUUAAUU
Long non-coding RNA from Dinoponera quadriceps, 626 nucleotides. RefSeq lists it as uncharacterized. The record is from RefSeq and is a predicted model, not a curated record. Lineage: Eukaryota; Metazoa; Arthropoda; Insecta; Hymenoptera; Formicidae. The transcript has 4 exons.